Molecule: small nucleolar RNA, 107 nt
Organism: Lathyrus oleraceus (garden pea)
Lineage: Eukaryota; Viridiplantae; Streptophyta; Magnoliopsida; Fabales; Fabaceae
Source: RefSeq, a predicted model, not a curated record
UUGUUGUGAUUUGGACACCUGCAGAGUAAUAAUUUGAACCUCUCCUAUGUAUCACAUUAAGACUCAGCAUCACCUUGUUCAAAAUUAGAAAUCUCUUAUCUUCUCCC